This 346-nucleotide ribosomal RNA is filed under the name uncultured bacterium. RNAcentral describes it as "partial 16S ribosomal RNA". It matches the Rfam family "Bacterial small subunit ribosomal RNA", at positions 338 to 698 of the family's 1533-position model. The record is from RNAcentral.
CCUACGGGAGGCAGCAGUGGGGGAUAUUGGACAAUGGGGGAAACCCUGAUCCAGCGACGCCGCGUGAGUGAAGAAGUAUUACGGUGUGUAAAGCUCUAUCAGCAGGGAAGAAAGAAAUGACGGUACCUGAGUAAGAAGCCCCGGCGAACUACGUGCCAGCAGCCGCGGUAAUACGUAGGGGGCAAGAGUUAUCCGGAAUUACUGGGUGUAAAGGGAGCUGAGGCGGGAAUGCAAGGCUGGAGUGAAAGGCGGGGGCCCAACCCCCGGACUGCUUUGGAAACUGUGUAACUGGAGUGCAGGAGAGGCAGGCGGAAUUCCUAGUGUAGCGGUGAAAUGCGUAGAUAUU